Molecule: ribosomal RNA, 2894 nt
Filed under: Pseudomonas hefeiensis
Lineage: Bacteria; Pseudomonadati; Pseudomonadota; Gammaproteobacteria; Pseudomonadales; Pseudomonadaceae
Description: 23S ribosomal RNA
Rfam family: Bacterial large subunit ribosomal RNA
Source: RNAcentral
GGUCAAGUGAAGAAGCGCAUACGGUGGAUGCCUUGGCAGUCAGAGGCGAUGAAAGACGUGGUAGCCUGCGAAAAGCUUCGGGGAGUCGGCAAACAGACUGUGAUCCGGAGAUGUCUGAAUGGGGGAACCCAGCCAUCAUAAGAUGGUUAUAUCUUGUACUGAAUACAUAGGUGCAAGAGGCGAACCAGGGGAACUGAAACAUCUAAGUACCCUGAGGAAAAGAAAUCAACCGAGAUUCCCUUAGUAGUGGCGAGCGAACGGGGACUAGCCCUUAAGUGGCUUUGAGAUUAGCGGAACGCUCUGGAAAGGGCGGCCAUAGUGGGUGAUAGCCCUGUACGCGAAAAUCUCUUAGUCAUGAAAUCGAGUAGGACGGAGCACGAGAAACUUUGUCUGAAUAUGGGGGGACCAUCCUCCAAGGCUAAAUACUACUGACUGACCGAUAGUGAACUAGUACCGUGAGGGAAAGGCGAAAAGAACCCCGGAGAGGGGAGUGAAAUAGAUCCUGAAACCGUAUGCGUACAAGCAGUGGGAGCCCACUUUGUUGGGUGACUGCGUACCUUUUGUAUAAUGGGUCAGCGACUUAUUUUCAGUGGCGAGCUUAACCGAAUAGGGGAGGCGUAGCGAAAGCGAGUCUUAAUAGGGCGUCUAGUCGCUGGGAAUAGACCCGAAACCGGGCGAUCUAUCCAUGGGCAGGUUGAAGGUUGGGUAACACUAACUGGAGGACCGAACCGACUACCGUUGAAAAGUUAGCGGAUGACCUGUGGAUCGGAGUGAAAGGCUAAUCAAGCUCGGAGAUAGCUGGUUCUCCUCGAAAGCUAUUUAGGUAGCGCCUCAUGUAUCACUGUAGGGGGUAGAGCACUGUUUCGGCUAGGGGGUCAUCCCGACUUACCAAACCGAUGCAAACUCCGAAUACCUACAAGUGCCGAGCAUGGGAGACACACGGCGGGUGCUAACGUCCGUCGUGAAAAGGGAAACAACCCAGACCGUCAGCUAAGGUCCCAAAGUUAUGGUUAAGUGGGAAACGAUGUGGGAAGGCUUAGACAGCUAGGAGGUUGGCUUAGAAGCAGCCACCCUUUAAAGAAAGCGUAAUAGCUCACUAGUCGAGUCGGCCUGCGCGGAAGAUGUAACGGGGCUCAAACCAUACACCGAAGCUACGGGUAUCACUUAGGUGAUGCGGUAGAGGAGCGUUCUGUAAGCCUGUGAAGGUGAGUUGAGAAGCUUGCUGGAGGUAUCAGAAGUGCGAAUGCUGACAUGAGUAACGACAAUGGGUGUGAAAAACACCCACGCCGAAAGACCAAGGUUUCCUGCGCAACGUUAAUCGACGCAGGGUUAGUCGGUCCCUAAGGCGAGGCUGAAAAGCGUAGUCGAUGGAAAACAGGUUAAUAUUCCUGUACUUCUGGUUAUUGCGAUGGAGGGACGGAGAAGGCUAGGCCAGCUUGGCGUUGGUUGUCCAAGUUUAAGGUGGUAGGCUGGAAUCUUAGGUAAAUCCGGGAUUCUAAGGCCGAGAGCUGAUGACGAGUUACCCUUUGGGUGACGAAGUGGUUGAUGCCAUGCUUCCAAGAAAAGCUUCUAAGCUUCAGGUAACCAGGAACCGUACCCCAAACCGACACAGGUGGUUGGGUAGAGAAUACCAAGGCGCUUGAGAGAACUCGGGUGAAGGAACUAGGCAAAAUGGCACCGUAACUUCGGGAGAAGGUGCGCCGGUGAGGGUGAAGCACUUGCUGCGUAAGCCCACGCCGGUCGAAGAUACCAGGCCGCUGCGACUGUUUAUUAAAAACACAGCACUCUGCAAACACGAAAGUGGACGUAUAGGGUGUGACGCCUGCCCGGUGCCGGAAGGUUAAUUGAUGGGGUUAGCUAACGCGAAGCUCUUGAUCGAAGCCCCGGUAAACGGCGGCCGUAACUAUAACGGUCCUAAGGUAGCGAAAUUCCUUGUCGGGUAAGUUCCGACCUGCACGAAUGGCGUAACGAUGGCGGCGCUGUCUCCACCCGAGACUCAGUGAAAUUGAAAUCGCUGUGAAGAUGCAGUGUAUCCGCGGCUAGACGGAAAGACCCCGUGAACCUUUACUAUAGCUUUGCACUGGACUUUGAAUUUGCUUGUGUAGGAUAGGUGGGAGGCUUUGAAGCGUGGACGCCAGUUCGCGUGGAGCCAACCUUGAAAUACCACCCUGGCAACUUUGAGGUUCUAACUCAGGUCCGUUAUCCGGAUCGAGGACAGUGUAUGGUGGGUAGUUUGACUGGGGCGGUCUCCUCCUAAAGAGUAACGGAGGAGUACGAAGGUGCGCUCAGACCGGUCGGAAAUCGGUCGUAGAGUAUAAAGGCAAAAGCGCGCUUGACUGCGAGACAGACACGUCGAGCAGGUACGAAAGUAGGUCUUAGUGAUCCGGUGGUUCUGUAUGGAAGGGCCAUCGCUCAACGGAUAAAAGGUACUCCGGGGAUAACAGGCUGAUACCGCCCAAGAGUUCAUAUCGACGGCGGUGUUUGGCACCUCGAUGUCGGCUCAUCACAUCCUGGGGCUGAAGCCGGUCCCAAGGGUAUGGCUGUUCGCCAUUUAAAGUGGUACGCGAGCUGGGUUUAGAACGUCGUGAGACAGUUCGGUCCCUAUCUGCCGUGGACGUUUGAGAUUUGAGAGGGGCUGCUCCUAGUACGAGAGGACCGGAGUGGACGAACCUCUGGUGUUCCGGUUGUCACGCCAGUGGCAUUGCCGGGUAGCUAUGUUCGGAAAAGAUAACCGCUGAAAGCAUCUAAGCGGGAAACUUGCCUCAAGAUGAGAUCUCACUGGGACCUUGAGUCCCCUGAAGGGCCGUCGAAGACUACGACGUUGAUAGGUGGGGUGUGUAAGCGCUGUGAGGCGUUGAGCUAACCCAUACUAAUUGCCCGUGAGGCUUGACCAU